CAUGCGGCAGCUAUACAUGCAAGUCGAGCGAAUGGAUGGGAGCUUGCUCCCUGAAGUUAGCGGCGGACGGGUGAGUAACACGUGGGCAACCUGCCUAUAAGACUGGGAUAACUUCGGGAAACCGGAGCUAAUACCGGAUACGUUCUUUUCUCGCAUGAGAGAAGAUGGAAAGACGGUUUACGCUGUCACUUAUAGAUGGGCCCGCGGCGCAUUAGCUAGUUGGUGAGGUAAUGGCUCACCAAGGCGACGAUGCGUAGCCGACCUGAGAGGGUGAUCGGCCACACUGGGACUGAGACACGGCCCAGACUCCUACGGGAGGCAGCAGUAGGGAAUCUUCCGCAAUGGACGAAAGUCUGACGGAGCAACGCCGCGUGAACGAUGAAGGCUUUCGGGUCGUAAAGUUCUGUUGUUAGGGAAGAACAAGUACCAGAGUAACUGCUGGUACCUUGACGGUACCUAACCAGAAAGCCACGGCUAACUACGUGCCAGCAGCCGCGGUAAUACGUAGGUGGCAAGCGUUGUCCGGAAUUAUUGGGCGUAAAGCGCGCGCAGGUGGUUCCUUAAGUCUGAUGUGAAAGCCCACGGCUCAACCGUGGAGGGUCAUUGGAA
This 609-nucleotide ribosomal RNA is filed under the name Peribacillus muralis. RNAcentral's name for it is "bacterial SSU rRNA". It matches the Rfam family "Bacterial small subunit ribosomal RNA", at positions 36 to 631 of the family's 1533-position model. The record is from RNAcentral. Lineage: Bacteria; Bacillati; Bacillota; Bacilli; Caryophanales; Bacillaceae.